GGAUGCUAUCAUACUAGCACUAAUGCACCAGAUCCCAUCAGAACUCCGCAGUUAAGCGUGCUUGAAAAAGAGUUGUACUAGUAUGGGUGACCUCCCGGAAAGUCCUCGUGUUGCAUCCC
Molecule: ribosomal RNA, 119 nt
Filed under: Arabidopsis thaliana (thale cress)
Lineage: Eukaryota; Viridiplantae; Streptophyta; Magnoliopsida; Brassicales; Brassicaceae
Source: RNAcentral